UGAGGGAUAUUGGUCAAUGGGGGAAACCCUGAACCAGCAACGCCGCGUGAGGGAAGACGGUUUUCGGAUUGUAAACCUCUGUCCUCUGUGAAGAUAAUGACGGUAGCAGAGGAGGAAGCUCCGGCUAACUACGUGCCAGCAGCCGCGGUAAUACGUAGGGAGCGAGCGUUGUCCGGAUUUACUGGGUGUAAAGGGUGCGUAGGCGGGUAAGCAAGUCAGAAGUGAAAUCCAUGGGCUUAACCCAUGAACUGCUUUUGAAACUGUUUAUCUUGAGUGAAGUAGAGGUAGGCGGAAUUCCCGGUG
RNAcentral lists this ribosomal RNA (303 nucleotides) under uncultured bacterium. Its description in RNAcentral is "bacterial SSU rRNA". It matches the Rfam family "Bacterial small subunit ribosomal RNA", at positions 355 to 675 of the family's 1533-position model. The record is from RNAcentral.